Long non-coding RNA from Cercocebus atys (sooty mangabey), 2080 nucleotides. RefSeq lists it as uncharacterized. The record is from RefSeq and is a predicted model, not a curated record. Lineage: Eukaryota; Metazoa; Chordata; Mammalia; Primates; Cercopithecidae. The transcript is spliced from 3 exons.
UAUCAACACAAUUUGAGAAAAUUUUUAAUCACUGCAAAAACAAAAACCCCUCUAUAACCUUUAGCUAUUGCUUUUCUUUGAAUGUGGUGUCCCUCAAAAAGGUAUUAAUAUGUUGAAACUUAAUACUCAUUAAGGUGGUAAUAAGAGGAGGGCCUUUUGGGAAGUGAUUAACUCGUGAGGACUCCGCCCUUAUGAAUAGAUUAAUACCUGUAUAAAAGAGGCUUCAGAGAGAGUUUGCCCCUCUUGCCUUCCACCUGCCGCUAUAUGAGGACACAGCAGCAAGGUGCCAUCUUGGAAGCAGAAAACAGCCCUCGCCAGACACCAACAUUGGUGGCUUCAGAAGUGAAUAGUCACACUGUUUUCCAAAGUGACUGCACCAUUUCAUAUUUCUACUAGCAACACCAUCAUCUUCCUUUUACAGAAGAAGAAACUCAUAUCGCGGAAAAGUGAGGAUGAAAUCCUCUGACCACCCUACCUUUAAAGGUCCUUUAAAGGGAAAGAACUGACAGUGUAAGUGGAAAGAGAGCAAUUGGAAGUAGCAGGAGAGGGAAAAGCCAUUAUCAUACAACUGGUGGGAAGAAGGAAUGCCAAAAACAUCAGUGUGAAAAUAAUUGCAACAAAAAGUCCACUGGCCAGAAAGAGUCAUAUGGCUUCGACUGACUUGCAAGGCAGUGGUGAAGUGGGUGAGCGCAUGCAUAUUCAAUGAGCAAUCAGUGUCUUGGCCUCAAGGGCAAGGCUCAGAUAAAUUAAUUUACUUUUAAUUCAAUUUUUUAGGAAAACAGGUGAUGAGCACUGAAAUGAUAAGCAGAUGAUUGUCGAUCUUACUAACCCAGAUAGUUGUUUUCAGGAAAAUUUUAAAUGGGAAAAUGUUUCAGCUACUUGUAUUUUGUUUUGUUUUGUUUGUUUUUUAGCCAGAACGGCAAAGGAAAAACUGAGAACCACCCUGCAUGACCAUACAUCUCACAUUUACAUAGCAAUUUAAACAGUUAUUUUUGAAAACAAGAUGACAUGAGGUGUGAUUAUCACGUAAGUAAUGAAACUGACUUAUCCCAAAAACAUAUAGACAGCAUGGAUUUUCAUAAGGAAAGUGGUCCUUUUCAGAGGCUGAGAACUCUGGUCAAAGAAGUUCCUCCAAGUAGUUAGCAUCUAUGAUAAGUGCUGUCACUCCUGGAUCUGCGUAUUAAUUGUAGCAAAUUUGGGACGGUGUCUUAGCUCAGGCUGCUGUAGCCAAAUGCCACAGACUGGGUGACUUAAACAACACUUAUUUUUUCACAGUUCUGGAGGCUGGAAGUCCAUGAUCAGGGUGCUGGAAGUCCAUGAUCUGGGAGCCAGCAUGAUCAGGUUCUGGUGAGGGCUCCCUUCUUGGUUUGUAGAUGGCUGCCAUCGUGCUGUGUAUUCACAUGACCCCUUCUUUGUGUGUGCAUGGAGACAGAGAACAAAUAAGCUCUCUGGUGUCUCUUCUUGCAAAGGCGCUAAUCCCAUCAUAAGGAUUCCACCCUCAUGACCUCAUCUAAGCUUAAUUACCUCUCAGAAGUCCCAUCUCCAAAUAUCACAUUGGGGGUUAGGGCUUCAACAUAAGAAUCAUGAAUUUGGGGUGGGGAGAGGACACAGUUGAGUCCAUAGCAGGUGGGAAACAUGGACUUAAGGAUCAGAAUUGCCUCUUGCUAGCAAAACUUUCCCAAGAGCAAGUAAGUUCACUUCUGUGAGCAGACAGAGGCUCCUGAAGUAACACAGGUGAAAGGUAAGUGGUCCUGAAUUGGGAUGAUGACAGCAAAAGAGGAGAUGGGUUUGAGACGGAAUAUUCAUGGUUUGCAGACAAAGUGAAAAACAUUUAGCAUGACCACCCAGGUUGGAAGCCUGGUGCCUGGGAGAAGGUUGGUGCCUGGCUGGAAAGCCAGGAGAAAGAAGCAGUUUGGGCAGAAAGAGGAAAAGGACUUUGGCAACAUGCCCACCUUGGGAUCAUCUUGAGUUUGUGCGGGAAUGUUCUAAUGUAAGGGAAAUAUAAAAAUGCCACGUAUAAGGAAGACUGCGGCCAGGUGUGAUAAUUUACGCUUGUAAUCCCAACACUUUGGGAGGCCGA